Molecule: long non-coding RNA, 642 nt
Filed under: Homo sapiens (human)
Lineage: Eukaryota; Metazoa; Chordata; Mammalia; Primates; Hominidae
Description: HSALNT0152479
Source: RNAcentral
CUCUAUUUCUUAGAUGACUCCAAUUUAAAGUCUAGGUGAGAGAAAGUACAGCAUGGAAACCUAAUACUGUGGGCGAUUUAUUCGGAACACUUUUCAUUUUUCAGAGGUACCUUAACACUGAGAUAAUAAACACUGCUGAUCUAAAAUAAUAAUGGAACCCACUUAAGUCCGAUUGCUGUAUUUAAUGAGCAUGAAACAAAUUUCAUGGGCUACUCUCUCCUAAUGAGACUAUAUAAAUGAUCAUUAGCCUUAUCGACCAAUAUUUCUGUAGAAUUUCCCCAUAUAUUAAAUCUAUGGUUUAUUAUAACAAAAACUUUUUAAAUUAAACACUACUCUAUUGUCAUGACCAGGUCCUCACGGGGCAGAAGCGGAUUUACCAAGACCUGCACCGAGUACCGUCUCGGGAACCCCUACCUUUUCAAACACCUCUUCCUUCUCCCUGCGCUUCCGUUUUCGGGGUCUCCGGUUCACUCCAAUCCAUUUCGUGACCUGAGGUUCAAAAACCACAGCAUUUCAAAGAAGGCGACAGGGUCCUGACGGCCAUCCCCCAGCGCGAGAAAGCAGAGACCCCCGGCCUCGCGACCUGGUCUUCCCCGCACCUCGGGAGGCCAGGGCGCAGAGAAACCCAGCCCCGCGCUCCCG